AGACAGGUGGUGCGAUGGUUGUCGUCAGCUCGUGUCGUGAGAUGUUGGGUUAAGUCCCGCAACGAGCGCAACCCCUACGUUUAGUUGCUUAACGCGUGAAGGCGAGCACUCUAGACGAACUGCCGUUGACAAAACGGAGGAAGGUGGGAUGACGUCAAAUCAUCAUGCCCCUUAUGUUCUGGGCUAUACACGUGCUACAAUGGCCGGUACAGACGGACGCAAAGCCGCGAGGUGGAGCAAAUCCUAAAAAGCCGGUCUCAGUUCGGAUUGCAGGCUGCAAUUCGCCUGCAUGAAGUCGGAAUCGCUAGUAAUCGCAGGUCAGCAUACUGCGGUGAAUACGUUCCCGGGCCUU
RNAcentral lists this ribosomal RNA (352 nucleotides) under uncultured Pelotomaculum sp. Its description in RNAcentral is "bacterial SSU rRNA". It matches the Rfam family "Bacterial small subunit ribosomal RNA", at positions 1032 to 1382 of the family's 1533-position model. Lineage: Bacteria; Bacillati; Bacillota; Clostridia; Eubacteriales; Desulfotomaculaceae. The record is from RNAcentral.